GCCGGGCGUGGUGGCGGGUGCCUGUAGUCCCAGCUACUUGGGAGGCUGAGGCAGGAGAAUCACUUGAACCCAGGAGGCAGAGGUUGCAGUGAGCCGAGAUC
Molecule: non-coding RNA, 101 nt
Filed under: Haptolina brevifila
Lineage: Eukaryota; Haptophyta; Prymnesiales; Prymnesiaceae
Source: RNAcentral